RNAcentral lists this ribosomal RNA (164 nucleotides) under Pentanema indicum. Its description in RNAcentral is "5.8S ribosomal RNA". It matches the Rfam family "5.8S ribosomal RNA". Rfam says of the family: 5.8S ribosomal RNA (5.8S rRNA) is a component of the large subunit of the eukaryotic ribosome. It is transcribed by RNA polymerase I as part of the 45S precursor that also contains 18S and 28S rRNA. Lineage: Eukaryota; Viridiplantae; Streptophyta; Magnoliopsida; Asterales; Asteraceae. The record is from RNAcentral.
AAAACGACUCUCGGCAACGGAUAUCUCGGCUCACGCAUCGAUGAAGAACGUAGCAAAAUGCGAUACUUGGUGUGAAUUGCAGAAUCCCGUGAACCAUCGAGUUUUUGAACGCAAGUUGCGCCCAAARCCAUUCGGUUGAGGGCACAUCUGCCUGGGCGUCACGC